UCGCCUGUUUAUCAAAAACAUAGCCUUAAGAAAUAUAAUUUAAGGUAAAGCCUGCCCACUGAUAAUAUUUUUAACGGCCGCGGUAUCCUGACCGUGCAAAGGUAGCAUAAUCAUUUGUCUUGUAAUUUAAGACUAGAAUGAAUGGUUAAACGAAAAAGACACUGUGCCUUUUAUUUUUGAAAAAUAUAAUUAAAAGUUAAAAUGCUUUUAUAGACAAAAAAGACAAGAAGACCCUAUAGAGCUUUAUUUUUAAAACCUAUAAAAUUUAGCUGGGGCGGCAAGAAAAUUCAAAAAACUUUUCUAUUUCACAGGUAAUUUAACCUUAAGAUCCUCUAAUGAAAAAUAGAAAAAGCUACCUUAGGGAUAACAGACUAAUUUUAAUAAAGAGUUCACAUCAAAAUUAAAGAUUGGCACCUCGAUGUUGGCUUAGGGUUCUUUCUUCCUGCAGCAGAAAAGAAAUAGUGGUUUGUUCAACCAUUAAACCCCUACAUGAUCUGAGUUCAAACCGGAG
Molecule: ribosomal RNA, 511 nt
Filed under: Astreptosyllis acrassiseta
Lineage: Eukaryota; Metazoa; Annelida; Polychaeta; Phyllodocida; Syllidae
Description: partial 16S ribosomal RNA
Rfam family: Bacterial large subunit ribosomal RNA
Source: RNAcentral